Molecule: ribosomal RNA, 36 nt
Filed under: uncultured Penicillium
Lineage: Eukaryota; Fungi; Ascomycota; Eurotiomycetes; Eurotiales; Aspergillaceae
Description: partial 28S ribosomal RNA
Source: RNAcentral
UACCCGCUGAACUUAAGCAUAUCAAUAAGCGAAGGA